GGUGGCAACAAUCUCACGGACUAAUUAUUCAAGGAGGAUUCAAGAAACAGGCUAUUGAUGACUAUGUGGCACAUUGUAAUAUUCAAUUGAGAGACAACGCCGACAUAAUGAUGAAAAAGAUGACGAAUCACGCGGUGCCAUUCAUCAUUUUUUCCGCCGGAAUCGGAACAAUCAUCGAAAUGUACCUCCGACAUAAAUUCGGCCGAGUCGAAUCGAACACCCAUGUCGUGUCGAAUAUGAUGGGAUUCGACGACGACGGAUAUGUUAACUCGUUCUCCGAUCCUCUGAUCCAUGUUUUCUGCAAGAAUUCAUCGGUUAUGCCGGCGGAUCGCACGUUUUCCGAGCAAAUUGAGGGAAGGAAGAAUGUGAUUCUGUUGGGUGAUAGUGUUGGAGACGCUUUUAUGGAUGUUGGUGUUGAGGAGGAACAAGUUUCACUCAAAAUCGGAUUUGUUAAUCAUGAUGCUGACAAGCUCGUCGACAAAUAUCUCAACUAUUUUGACAUUGUCCUCGUGGACGAUCAAUCGAUGGAUAUUCCCAAUCAGAUUUUGGAGGCGAUUUAUAAUAAUAAAAAUUACUGA
This 578-nucleotide unclassified non-coding RNA is filed under the name Caenorhabditis elegans. RNAcentral describes it as "Non-coding transcript of protein-coding gene Y10G11A.1c". The record is from RNAcentral. Lineage: Eukaryota; Metazoa; Nematoda; Chromadorea; Rhabditida; Rhabditidae.